CCUACGGGAGGCAGCAGUGAGGAAUAUUGGUCAAUGGGCUUACGCCUGAACCAGCCAAGUCGCGUGAGGGAAGACUGCCCUCUGGGUUGUAACCCUCUUUUGUCAGGACGCAAAGCCGGCUACGUAUAGCCGGACUGAGUGUACCUACAGAAAAAGAAUGGACUAACUCCGUGCCAGCCGCCGCGGUAAUACGGAGGAUGCGAGCGUUCUCCGGUGUGAUUGGGUUAAAGGGGUGCGUGGGCGGAAUGCCAGGUCAGCGGGAAAAUCGCGGGCCUCAACCUCGCUCCGCCGUUGAGACUGGCGUUCUUGAGUGCGCGAGAGGUAGGCGGAAUG
This 333-nucleotide ribosomal RNA is filed under the name uncultured bacterium. RNAcentral describes it as "partial 16S ribosomal RNA". It matches the Rfam family "Bacterial small subunit ribosomal RNA", at positions 338 to 668 of the family's 1533-position model. The record is from RNAcentral.